Molecule: ribosomal RNA, 2911 nt
Filed under: Helicobacter mesocricetorum
Lineage: Bacteria; Pseudomonadati; Campylobacterota; Epsilonproteobacteria; Campylobacterales; Helicobacteraceae
Description: bacterial LSU rRNA
Rfam family: Bacterial large subunit ribosomal RNA
Source: RNAcentral
AACAUUGAUUUCUCAUCUCAAAUACUGUGCCUUUGGUUUUUCGUUAGGAAAGUGAGAUUCUAUGGUAUUUCAUAGAAUGUUUGCUUACAAAAUGGAAUCCCAAAAAUUCUAGCAUUGUAUGUGAUUUUUAGGGGCAGUAUUUAUAUUGUUGAAAUAUUACAAAUGAAACACACUUUUAGUGUGUUGCAGUAAGCAAUGUUUUUCUCCCUAAAAAGUCGCCACAAGAUGAAUUUAGCUUGAUUUUUUAGUGAGACCCACAAGGGUGAUGGACUGCCUUUUGCAUAAUGAUCCUGCGAGUUGUGGUAUCUGGCAAGGUUAAACCAAUGUGAAGCCGUAGCGAAAGCGAGUCUUAAUAGGGCGCAGCCCCCUCAUUUAUGCCUAACUUCAAGGUAUGCUUGUCUUUUAGUGAUAAAUGCUUGAGUUUGAGAAAAUUUUGUGCGAUAGCCAUUAAGGCUAGUCUCCGCAAUUUUCUUUACACAGUAAUCGUUUCUCAUCUAAAAUACUUUGCAUACAAAACUUUAUAGAAUCCCAAAUGAAUAAUUUAAUUUAAGAUUCUAGUAUCUUGCGAUAAAUUUUUAAGGUUUUCAAGAAAAAUGUGCUGGGAGUUACCUUAGCAGUAAUGACCAAACAUUUUUCGCAGAAUCCUUAAAAAUUAUCCAAGAGACGAAUCUUUUUGAAGUUUAAGUAUAAAUGAGGGGGCUUAAGUCAGAUGCUGCAGACCCGAAGCUGAGUGAUCUAUCCAUGGCCAAGUUGAAAGUGGGGUAACACCCACCGGAGGACUGAACUCGUACCCAUUGAAACGGGUUGGGAUGAGCUGUGGAUAGGGGUGAAAGGCCAAUCAAACUCAGUGAUAGCUGGUUCUCUUCGAAAUAUAUUUAGGUAUAGCCUCAAGUGAUAGUAAUAGGGGGUAGAGCUCUGAUUGGGCUAGGGCUGCUCACCGCGGUACCAACCCCUGUCAAACUACGAAUACCUAUUACCGUAUCUUGGGAGUCAGGCGGUGGGUGAUAAAAUCAAUCGUCAAAAGGGGAACAACCCAGACUACCAACUAAGGUCCCCAAGUUCUAUUCUAAGUGGAAAAUGAUGUGAAGUUACUCAGACAACCAGGAGGUUGGCUUAGAAGCAGCCAUCCUUUAAAGAUAGCGUAACAGCUCACUGGUCUAGUGAUUUUGCGCAGAAAAUAUAACGGGGCUAAGAUAGACACCGAAGUUGUAGAUUGUGCUGAUGCACAGUGGUAGAAGAGCGUUGCAUACAGCGUCGAAGCCAUACCGGUAAGGAGUGGUGGAGCGUAUGCAAGUGAGCAUGCAGGAAUGAGUAGCGAUAAAAGGGGUGAGAAUCCCCUUCGCCGAAAAUCUAAGGUUUCCUACGCUAUGCUCGUCAUCGUAGGGUUAGUCGGGUCCUAAGACAAGUCCGAAAGGGGUAGUCGAUGGAAAAUGGGUUAAUAUUCCCAUACCAAUAUUAGUGUGCGAUGGGGGGACGCAUAGGGUCAAGAUGAGCCAAGUGAUAGAAGUCUUGGUCGAAGGGUGCAAGUAAGAAGAUUGGCAAAUCCGCUUCCUUUUCCCAAACCCAACAGGCUCUUUGAAGUCUUCGGAUGGAUAGGAGAAUCAUUAAGAUCGUCGUGCCAAGAAAAGCCUCUAAGUUUAGCUAAUAUUGCCCGUACCGCAAACCGACACAGGUAGAUGAGAUGAGUAUUCUAAGGCGCGUGAAAGAACUCUCUUUAAGGAACUCUGCAAACUAACACCGUAAGUUCGCGAUAAGGUGUGCCACAGCAAUGUGGUCUCAGCAAAGAGUCCCUCCCGACUGUUUACCAAAAACACAGCACUUUGCCAACUCGUAAGAGGAAGUAUAAGGUGUGACGCCUGCCCGGUGCUCGAAGGUUAAGAGGAUUAGUUAGUAGCAAUACAAAGCUUUGAAUUGAAGCCCGAGUAAACGGCGGCCGUAACUAUAACGGUCCUAAGGUAGCGAAAUUCCUUGUCGGUUAAAUACCGACCUGCAUGAAUGGCGUAACGAGAUGGGAGCUGUCUCAAAGAGUGAUUCAGUGAAAUUGUAGUGGAGGUGAAAAUUCCUCCUACCCGCGGCAAGACGGAAAGACCCCGUGGACCUUUACUACAGCUUGGCACUGCCGAUGGGAGCAUUAUGCGCAGCAUAGGUGGGAGGCUUUGAAAUCUUUACUCUGGUAGAGAUGGAGCCAUCGUUGAGAUACCACCCUUAAUGUUUCUGUCUGCUAACUAGCUUGAGUUAUCCUCAAGUAGGACAAUGCCUGGUGGGUAGUUUGACUGGGGCGGUCGCCUCCUAAAAAGUAACGGAGGCUUGCAAAGGUUGGCUCAAAAUGGUUGGAAAUCAUUUGUAGAGUGUAAUGGCAUAAGCCAGCCUGACUGUAAGACAAACAAGUCAAGCAGAGACGAAAGUCGGUCAUAGUGAUCCGGUGAUUCUGUGUGGAAGGGUCAUCGCUCAAAGGAUAAAAGGUACCCCGGGGAUAACAGGCUGAUCUCCCCCAAGAGCUCACAUCGACGGGGAGGUUUGGCACCUCGAUGUCGGCUCAUCGCAUCCUGGGGCUGGAGCAGGUCCCAAGGGUAUGGCUGUUCGCCAUUUAAAGCGGUACGCGAGCUGGGUUCAGAACGUCGUGAGACAGUUCGGUCCCUAUCUGCCGUGGGCGUAGGAAAGUUGAGGAGAUCUGUCCCUAGUACGAGAGGACCGGGAUGGACAUACCACUGGUGUAGCUGUUGUCCUGCUAUGGGCAUCGCAGCGUAGCUACGUAUGGAUGUGAUAAACGCUGAAAGCAUCUAAGCGUGAAGCCAACUCCAAGAUGAACUUUCCCUGAAGGUCGCAAGAAGACUACUUGCUUGAUAGGGUAGAGGUGUAAGCAUAGUAAUAUGUUUAGCUGACUACUACUAAUAGACCGUUUGGCUUAAUU